AACACAACAUUACUACAUUUUAACGGUGUUAAAGGCUGUAUGACAGUGAGCUAUUAAAAUUAUUCUGUUUUGAUGAUUGGGUAGCUGGAAUGUGGAGUAUGAAUGUUUUUUUACAUUUUUUUUUAAUUAAUUUUUUUUAUCAAUAAAACUUGGCAAACGUCUCGUAGACCCCUGACCAUUUGUGUGUACUACUCAUGUAUUUGUGUGUACUACUCAUGUAUUCUUGAAGGAAAAUAUCUGUUUUUAUUCCCCCCCCCCAGUGUAUUUACACUUCCUGUCCUUUUUUAGUAAAGUAUUUUGUUGUGAUAAAUAAGUUGCAAAAGCAAAAUGUGUAUUCAGACAGACCUGAGACUAUCUGAGCAGACUGACCAGGUUAGAUGCAGACUGACCGGGUUAGACGCAGACUGACUAGGUUAGACGCUGAUCUAUCAGACUGACUAGGUUAGACACAGACUGACUAGUUGUCUUUCUCCUCUCCCCUCCCCUGUCUAUAUACUAGUUGUCUUUCUCCCCUCCCCUGUCUAUAUACUAGUUGUCUUUCUCCCCUCCCCUGUCUAUAUACUAGUUUUGUCUUUCUCCUCCCCUCCCCUGUCUAUAUACUAGUUGUCUUUCUCCCCUCCCCUGUCUAUAUACUAGUUG
Molecule: long non-coding RNA, 639 nt
Filed under: Salmo salar (Atlantic salmon)
Lineage: Eukaryota; Metazoa; Chordata; Actinopteri; Salmoniformes; Salmonidae
Description: lncRNA (ENSSSAG00000120384.1)
Source: RNAcentral